ACACUGUCUCCUCCACGAGCCCGGUGAAAUUGUAGUAUCGGUGAAGAUGCCGGUUACCCGUCACGGGACGGAAAGACCCCAUGAACCUUCACUACAACUUUGCAUUGAUUUUGAAUUUUUGAUGUGUAGGAUAGUUGGGAGACUUUGAAGCGGUGUCGCUAGGCAUCGUGGAGUCAACGUUGAAAUACCAACCUUUAAACAUUUAGAAUCUAACCCGCCAAUGGUGGGCACAGUGCAUGGUGGGUAGUUUGACUGGGGUGGUCGCCUCCUAAAAUGUAACGGAGGCUUGCAAAGGUUCCCUCAGUACGGUUGGUAAUCGUACAUAGAGCGUAUUAGUAUAAGGGAGCUUGACUGUGAGACUUACAAGUCGAGCAGGGACGAAAGUCGGCUAAAGUGAUCCGGUGGUUCUGUAUGGAAGGGCCAUCGCUCAAAGGAUAAAAGGUACUCUGGGGAUAACAGGCUGAUCUCCCCCAAGAGCUCAUAUCGACGGGGAGGUUUGGCACCUCGAUGUCGGUUCGUCACAUCCUGGGGCUGGAGAAGGUCCCAAGGGUUCGGCUGUUCGCCGAUUAAAGUGGCACGUGAACUGGGUUCAGAACGUCGCAAGACAGUUCGGUCCCUAUCUGUGAUGGGCGUUAGUAAAUUGAGAGGACAUGACCUUAGUACGAGAGGACCGGGUCGUAUGUACCGCUGGUGUAUCUGUUGUGCCGCCAGGUGCAAUGCAGAGUAGCUAUGUACAGGCAGGAUAAACGCUGAAAGCAUCUAAGCGUGAAACCUUCCUCAAGAUGAGUUUACUUUUAAGGGUCGUCGAAGACUACGACGUUGAUAGGCUAUAGGUAUAAAGGUGGUAACAUCAAAGCCGAGUAGUACUAAUUACCCGUUAGCUUUAUUUUU
Molecule: ribosomal RNA, 891 nt
Filed under: Ferruginibacter sp.
Lineage: Bacteria; Pseudomonadati; Bacteroidota; Chitinophagia; Chitinophagales; Chitinophagaceae
Description: partial 23S ribosomal RNA
Rfam family: Bacterial large subunit ribosomal RNA
Source: RNAcentral